CGGCCUAUUCCAGGGCUUCUAGAGAAAAAUAAUGAGGAGUGUCACGGGGUAUGACUAUAAAGGUCUUGUAGAGGAGAAACAUGCGCUUCUUUUCGCUAGGUAUCGAAGGGCACUAUGUUCAUAAAUCUGAAACUAGACCUCAAAAUUUGAACAAAAUGUCAAAAAAUUAGGGGGGUCACCCAGCAGCGGCAUAACAAAAAAAAAACUCAUCAUAAAUACCAGACGCGCGUUUCGUCUACAAAAGACUCAUUAGUGACGCUCGAAUCAAAAUAAUGGUUGAAAGGCCAAAAUAAAGGACGAAGUUGAAGAUCAUUGAGAACCAAACAUUCCUAGCAGUUUUGCCAAAUACAGGUAAGACAGUUUAUUCCUGGUGUAGAAAAACCUUAGUUUUUUUCAAAAAUUCAAAGCGGUGUUAAUUUAUAAGAUUAUAUUAAUGAUAAGCCAAGUCAACACACAAGUGCCAACUACUGGGAUGGUGAUACCCUCGGGGAAAUAAAUCUUUACCAGCAGUGGCAUCGACUCAGAGGUUGCAUUUUAAGUUUUAACUCAUCAAAGAUACCAGUAUUUUAAUUUUAUAUUUACGCCAGACGCGCGUUUCGUCUACAAUAUAUCAGUGAAUGUCCUGUGAAGGGAAAACAGGCGCAUCGUUUGCGUAAGACUUCAAAAGGUGCUAUGUUCAAUUUUGUCGAAAGGAACUAAAAAAAAAAAAAACUCAACUGUCAGACAAGAACGCGAAAACCAAAAAAAAAAAAAAAAACCAACAUAUCAGAGUCAGUAAAAACUAAUUUUCAAAAUCUUGUUAUAUAAAGUCAUAAUUUCCCCAUCC
Molecule: long non-coding RNA, 826 nt
Filed under: Mytilus galloprovincialis (Mediterranean mussel)
Lineage: Eukaryota; Metazoa; Mollusca; Bivalvia; Mytilida; Mytilidae
Source: RNAcentral